This 2569-nucleotide ribosomal RNA is filed under the name Clostridioides difficile. RNAcentral's name for it is "partial 23S ribosomal RNA". It matches the Rfam family "Bacterial large subunit ribosomal RNA", at positions 316 to 2907 of the family's 2925-position model. Lineage: Bacteria; Bacillati; Bacillota; Clostridia; Peptostreptococcales; Peptostreptococcaceae. The record is from RNAcentral.
ACGAAGAGGUAUCGUAAUUGAAGAGGUUUGGAAAGACCCACCACAGAAGGUAAUAGUCCUGUAUGUUAAACGAGAAGACUUCAGAUAUGAUCCAGAGUACCACGGGACACGUGAAACCCUGUGGGAAGCAGGAGGGACCACCCUCCAAGGCUAAAUACUACCUAGUGACCGAUAGCGUAUAGUACCGUGAGGGAAAGGUGAAAAGAACCCCGGGAGGGGAGUGAAAUAGAACCUGAAACCCUGCACUUACAAGCUGUGGAAGCACAUUUCUUGUGUGACCGCGUACUUUUUGUAGAACGGGCCAACGAGUUACGUUAAGUAGCAAGGUUAAGCACUUAAGGUGCGGAGCCGUAGCGAAAGCGAGUUUUAACUGAGCGUUCAGUUACUUGACGUAGACCCGAAACCGGGCGACCUACCCAUGAGCAGGAUGAAGCGAAAGUAAAAUUUCGUGGAGGUCCGAACCCACGAGCGUUGAAAAGCUCGGGGAUGACUUGUGGGUAGCGGUGAAAUUCCAAUCGAGCCCGGAGAUAGCUGGUUCUCCCCGAAAUAGCUUUAGGGCUAGCCUCAAGGUGAGAGAUACGGAGGUAGAGCACUGAAUGUCCUAGGGGGUAUUGCACCUACCGAAGACUAUCAAACUCCGAAUGCCGUCAUCUUAUACUUGGGAGUCAGACUGUGGGUGAUAAGAUUCAUAGUCGAAAGGGCAACAGCCCAGAUCGUCAGCUAAGGUCCCUAAAUGUAAGUUAAGUGGUAAAGGAUGUGGGAUUGCACAGACAACCAGGAUGUUGGCUUAGAAGCAGCCACUCAUUCAAAGAGUGCGUAAUAGCUCACUGGUCGAGUGAUCCUGCGCCGAAGAUUUCCGGGGCUAAAACUUACUACCGAAGCUACGGCAUCAGUAAUGAUGGGUAGGGGAGCUUCCCAUACGGGUUGAAGCAUGACCGUAAGGACAUGUGGACAGUAUGGGAGUGAGAAUGUUGGCAUGAGUAGCGAGAUGUGGGUGAGAAUCCCACAGGCCGUAAACCCAAGGUUUCCAGGGGAAGGUUCGUCCGCCCUGGGUUAGUCGGGACCUAAGCUGAGGCCGAAAGGCGUAGGUGAUGGACAACAGGUUGAUAUUCCUGUACUACCGAUAACCGUUUGAGAGAAGGGAUGACACAGUAGGAUAAGCUAAGCACACUGUUGGUUAUGUGUGCCCAAGCAUUGAGGCAGUCAAAGCAGGCAAAUCCGCUUUGAUAAUGCUGGGAUGUGAUGGGGAGCGAAAUUUAGUAGCGAAGUAGCUGAUUUCACACUGUCAAGAAAAGUCUCUAUCGAGGUUAAAGGUACCCGUACCGCAAACCGACACAGGUGGGUGAGGAGAGUAUCCUAAGGCCAGCGAGAGAACUGUUGUUAAGGAACUCGGCAAAAUGACCCCGUAACUUAGGGAUAAGGGGUGCCACCAUCCGGUGGCCGCAGAGAAUAGGCCCAAGCGACUGUUUACCAAAAACAUAGGUUUCUGCUAAGUCGCAAGACGAUGUAUAGGAGCUGACGCCUGCCCGGUGCUGGAAGGUUAAGGGGAUCUGUUAGAGCAAUCGAAGCAGUGAACUUAAGCCCCAGUAAACGGCGGCCGUAACUAUAACGGUCCUAAGGUAGCGAAAUUCCUUGUCGGGUAAGUUCCGACCCGCACGAAAGGCGUAACGAUUUGGGCACUGUCUCAACAACAGACUCGGUGAAAUUGUAAUUCCGGUGAAGAUGCCGGAUACCUGCGACAGGACGGAAAGACCCCAUGGAGCUUUACUGUAGCUUGACAUUGGGUCUUGGUACUACAUGUACAGGAUAGGUGGGAGGCUUUGAAACCAGGACGCCAGUUUUGGCGGAGCCAUCCUUGGGAUACCACCCUUGUAGUACUGGGACUCUAACCAUAGGCCAUGAAUCUGGUCUUGGGACACUGUCAGGUGGGCAGUUUGACUGGGGCGGUCGCCUCCCAAAAGGUAACGGAGGCGCUCAAAGGUUCUCUCAGUACGGUCGGAAAUCGUACGUAGAGUGUAAAGGCAAAAGAGAGCUUGAUUGCAAGACAUACAGGUCGAGCAAGGAUGAAAAUCGGACUUAGUGAUCCGGUGGUUCUGCGUGGAAGGGCCAUCGCUCAACGGAUAAAAGCUACCCUGGGGAUAACAGGCUUAUCUCCCCCAAGAGUCCACAUCGACGGGGAGGUUUGGCACCUCGAUGUCGGCUCAUCACAUCCUGGGGCUGUAGUAGGUCCCAAGGGUUGGGCUGUUCGCCCAUUAAAGUGGUACGCGAGCUGGGUUCAGAACGUCGUGAGACAGUUCGGUCCCUAUCCGUCGCAGGCGUAGGAAAUUUGAGAAGACCUGUCCUUAGUACGAGAGGACCGGGAUGGACGUACCUCUGGUGUACCAGUUGUUCUGCCAAGGGCAUGGCUGGGUAGCUAUGUACGGAAUGGAUAAGCGCUGAAAGCAUCUAAGCGCGAAGCCAACUUCAAGAUAAGAUUUCCCACCGCAAGGGUAAGACCCCAGAAAGACUAUCUGGUUGAUAGGUCGAAGGUGUAAGUGCAGCAAUGUAUUUAGCUUAUCGAUACUAAUAG